AUUGAACGCUGGCGGAAUGCUUUACACAUGCAAGUCGAACGGCAGCACGGGGGCAGCCCUGGUGGCGAGUGGCGAACGGGUGAGUAAUACAUCGGAACGUGCCCGGUCGUGGGGGAUAACGUAGCGAAAGUUACGCUAAUACCGCAUACGAUCUGAGGAUGAAAGCGGGGGACCUUCGGGCCUCGCGCGAUCGGAGCGGCCGAUGUCAGAUUAGGUAGUUGGUGGGGUAAAGGCCUACCAAGCCGACGAUCUGUAGCUGGUCUGAGAGGACGACCAGCCACACUGGGACUGAGACACGGCCCAGACUCCUACAGGAGGCAGCAGUGGGGAAUUUUGGACAAUGGGCGCAAGCCUGAUCCAGCCAUUCCGCGUGCAGGACGAAGGCCUUCGGGUUGUAAACUGCUUUUGUACGGAACGAAAAGGCUCUGGCUAAUACCUGGGGCUCAUGACGGUACCGUAAGAAUAAGCACCGGCUAACUACGUG
Molecule: ribosomal RNA, 484 nt
Filed under: uncultured bacterium
Lineage: Bacteria
Description: partial 16S ribosomal RNA
Rfam family: Bacterial small subunit ribosomal RNA
Source: RNAcentral